UGGGGAAUAUUGCACAAUGGGCGCAAGCCUGAUGCAGCAACGCCGCGUGAGGGAUGACGGCCUUCGGGUUGUAAACCUCUUUUAGCAGGGAAGAAGCGAAAGUGACGGUACCUGCAGAAAAAGCGCCGGCUAACUACGUGCCAGCAGCCGCGGUAAUACGUAGGGCGCAAGCGUUAUCCGGAAUUAUUGGGCGUAAAGAGCUCGUAGGCGGUUUGUCGCGUCUGCUGUGAAAUCCCGAGGCUCAACCUCGGGUCUGCAGUGGGUACGGGCAGACUAGAGUGCGGUAGGGGAGAUUGGAAUUCCUGGUGUAGCGGUGGAAUGCGCAGAUAUCAGGAGGAACACCGAUGGCGAAGGCAGAUCUCUGGGCCGUAACUGACGCUGAGGAGCGAAAGGGUGGGGAGCAAACAGGCUUAGAUACCCUGGUAGUCCACCCCGUAAACGUUGGGAACUAGUUGUGGGGUCCAUUCCACGGAUUCCGUGACGCAGCUAACGCAUUAAGUUCACCGCCUGGGGAGUACGGCCGCAAGGCUAAAACUCAAAUGAAUUGACGGGGUC
Molecule: ribosomal RNA, 555 nt
Filed under: uncultured bacterium
Lineage: Bacteria
Description: partial 16S ribosomal RNA
Rfam family: Bacterial small subunit ribosomal RNA
Source: RNAcentral